This 252-nucleotide ribosomal RNA is filed under the name uncultured bacterium. RNAcentral describes it as "partial 16S ribosomal RNA". It matches the Rfam family "Bacterial small subunit ribosomal RNA", at positions 524 to 775 of the family's 1533-position model. The record is from RNAcentral.
UACGAAGGGGGCUAGCGUUGCUCGGAUUGACUGGGCGUAAAGGGCGCGUAGGCGGCUUGUACAGUCAGACGUGAAAUUCCUGGGCUCAACCUGGGGGCUGCGUUUGAUACGUGCGGGCUUGAGUUCGGAAGAGGGUCGUGGAAUUCCCAGUGUAGAGGUGAAAUUCGUAGAUAUUGGGAAGAACACCGGUGGCGAAGGCGGCUCACUGGCUCAUUUCUGACGCUCAGGCGCGACAGCGUGGGGAUCAAACAG